UACGUAGGGUGCGAGCGUUAAUCGGAAUUACUGGGCGUAAAGCGUGCGCAGGCGGUUCGUGAUGUCUGAUGUGAAAGCCCCGGGCUCAACCUGGGAAUUGCAUUGGAAACUAGCGUGCUGGAGUGUGGCAGAGGGGGGUGGAAUUCCACGUGUAGCAGUGAAAUGCGUAGAGAUGUGGAGGAACACCGAUGGCGAAGGCAGCCCCCUGGGCUAACACUGACGCUCAUGCACGAAAGCGUGGGGAGCAAACAGG
RNAcentral lists this ribosomal RNA (253 nucleotides) under uncultured bacterium. Its description in RNAcentral is "partial 16S ribosomal RNA". It matches the Rfam family "Bacterial small subunit ribosomal RNA", at positions 524 to 776 of the family's 1533-position model. The record is from RNAcentral.